UCGAUAAGUCCACUAGUCACACGAGCGCGAAAAAUUUACGUAUGUCUGAUCAACAAAAAAAGAAUAAUGAUCGAAUUGCAAACAAAAGGGCACUUGAUAUAACUGAAGAAAAUCAUAGGGAUGCUGGCAAUAGCAAACGCUUUUGCAGCGAGAGCCUCUUUUGGCCAGACAGUGACGAGGAGAGUUUCUUCUCUAAUGCAAAGCUUGAGGAUCUUCUUAGCGGCCGAAAUGAGGAGCUCUUCGGAACACAGGCGCAGACGAGCAACAAACCAACGGAGUUGGAACGGAGUGAAUCGGACGAUGGCCUUUUUGCUGAUGUAUCAUUUCCCAGCACCCAGAGACCCCAGCAAGAGCAAGGACACGAAUGCAAUGCUGCAUCUAAAGAAAACCAGAUUGAUCUGGCGAUAGAGGAGGAUGCCGGCAGCCUGUUCAAGCAGAUCAAUCUGCUUGAUCUAAGCAUUGCUGAAAUGGAGGAUAUAUUCCACGGAGCCGAAGACUUCAGUGAACCAAUUGCUCAGAAUACACAACUUUUCCUCGAUGCAGUCGCAUUCAAAGUGCCCAACCCCAAGACCCCAGUGAAACCAGAGAAAUCGUUGCCUCCGGCCAGCGACGAGUCCAUGUCCACCAUUGAGGGUAUAGUGCAUGGCACGCAAUACGCGACCUGUGAGGAGCUUAAGAACCAAUCAAUACUCGACCCAAUCAAUUGGGAGACUCAAGCCUUUGCCGACUUUGAAGCGAAGAGCCUUUCCGAAUACGACUUUCCCAGCAAGGGCGACUUCUAUGGACUGCCGGAUAAGGUCAAGAAAAUGAUACUGGAACACAAGGGCAUCAAGAGCCUGUAUGAAUGGCAAGACGAAUGCCUAAAUUUACCGGCAAUACGGCAGCGAAAGAAUCUAAUCUACGCCCUUCCCACCAGCGGGGGAAAAACCCUAGUCGCGGAGAUUCUCAUGCUGCGCGAACUGCUGUGUCAGGAGCGCAAUGUGUUGUUCAUAUUGCCAUAUGUUUCGAUUGUCCAGGAGAAGGUCAGCGCCAUGUCGCCGUUUGCCAUUGACUUGGAUUUUAUUGUCGAUGAAUAUACGGCUGGCAAGGGAAAAUGCCCGCCAGAGCCUCGUCGCAAGAGGCGGAGCUUGUUUAUUGCCUCCAUCGAAAAAGGAGCCGUGCUGAUGGACAGCUUGAUAGAUGUCCAACGUCCCCAUGAAAUAGGCCUGGUGGUGGUCGAUGAGCUUCAUUUGAUUGGCGAACGCGGACGUGGUGCCACCCUUGAGGCGUUUCUCACCAAAGUAAUGUUUUUGAAUGCAAAUAUUCAAAUUGUGGGCAUGAGUGCAACGAUAGGAAACCUAAGCGAGAUUUCGGCCUUUCUCAAUGCCGAUGUCUAUACGCGCGGCUUUCGCCCCGUGGAACUGAAAGAGUACAUCAAAUGUGGCUCCGAUUUGUUGGAGAUCAACUCGGCUGGCCAUACCCUCGAAGAAAUAUUUGUCCCCAAUCGCACGCUCGACUUUAAUUACAGCGAAGCUGUGAAGCGUGCGGAUCCUGAUCAUUUGGCUGGCCUGAUCAGCGAAUGUGCCCCAGAGCAUUGCUGUCUGGUGUUCUGCCCCAGCCGUAAGAACUGCGAGAAUGUGGCCCUACUGCUGAGUCGCAUUGUGCCCAAGCAGAAGUUCUUCGAGCAUCGCCGCAGCGAGAAGGCUGAUCUCAUGGAUGCCUUGGACAAGAUUUGCGGCGUUCUUAGCCCUGUUCUGGCCAAAACUCUGCCCUACGGCAUUGCCUAUCAUCACUCAGGCUUAACCACCGACGAGCGCAGGUAUAUAGAGACUGCCUAUCGCUUUGGCGUCGUCACCGUCAUCUGCUGUACCUCCACCCUGGCUGCGGGCGUGAAUCUGCCAGCCAAGCGUGUCAUCAUCCGCGCUCCCUACGUGGGCCAGGAAUUCAUGACUCUGUGCAAGUACAAGCAAAUGGUAGGACGAGCCGGACGUGCUGGCUUGGGCGAGGCGGGCGAGAGUAUUCUGAUUGCCCAGAGCAAGGACAAUCUACAGGUUGGCCAAAUGCUCUUCUCACCAAUGGACAAGGCGCUCAGUUCGUUGUAUCAGCAGGAGGCCGUGGGACUGCAGUCGCUUAUUUUGAGCGUGAUUGGCCUUAAUCUUGCCGAAUGCCGUCGCGAUUUAAAUCGCCUGGUGAACAGCACUCUUCUUGCGGUGCAGGCCAAUGCCCUGGAGGUGGCCGUGGACGAGCUGGUUCUCCGCAUACUCCGCGAAAUGUUCAAGAACAAAGUGCUGCAGCUGACAGAGUCGCCGGCAGCCAAGCUAAAGAUGAACUGUACGGAUAUUAUUACCACACAGGAUGUGAACCAAAGCACUCGUCCCGCUGGCGAUCGCCGCCUAUUCAUUGGCCAGUCCACGCGCUUUAAGUUGACCAAUAUUGGACGGGCUGCCUUCAAGGCGGGCAUUGACUACAAGCGGGCCAGCGCCAUUCACCGCGAACUGAAGCAGGCCCAGAAGCAGCUGAUUCUCAACAGCUACUCGCAUCUCCUGUAUCUGGUGGUGUGCUUUAACUCGAAUGAGCGAGGUGAUGAGCUGUUCCCUGCCGAUGCCAGCAUUCUGUUCAACGUCUACUCCGCGCUGCGCACCGAAUCGCAGGCGCUGUUCAAGCAGCUCGGCUUCACCGAGGCGCAUGCGGCCAGGCUCUUCAAGACGCAGUCGGUGCAGGGUCCCAUGACCCAGCAACUGAAUCGCCUCUACAAAGUGCUUAUCCUGUCGGAUAUUCUGGAUCUCUUGCCGCUGCCGACAGUCUCUUGCAAAUACAACGUGGAGCGUGGCACUCUGCAGCACCUCAUCAGCCAGUCGAUUGCUGCCUCCAGUGCCCUUGUCCGGCUGUGCGACGAAAUGGAAGAGUUCUGGUGUUACAAGCCAUUGUUCGAACGCGUCCUUCACAAAAUGGAUCGCUGCGGCACGGUAGAACUAGAGCCACUCAUGGAGCUGCCUGGUGUUAAAAUUAAUCGCGCCAAGCAGCUAUAUGCAGCGGGCCUUAGAACCAUCGAGGAUAUAGCCAAGAUACGACCCAUGACUUUAGUGCAAACUGUAGAGCAUAUGCCUUUGAGAGUGGCUACGGAAAUCGUCUCAGCAGCAAAGAUCAUUUUGAUGAAAAAACUUGAUCAUUUGGAGGAGGAAACGGAGAAUCUAAAAGUCUGCCUGCGCUCAAAUGAUUAGGAAUAGGUUUAACCCACAGAUUCGAGAUUCAGAGACUCACAGACUCCAAAAAGAGCAGACCGGAGAGCACGACAAUAAAUUGUCUGAGUCUCGAUGAGCAGGUCCCACCCGUAUUGUCUUGGCCAAGUUCAAAUUCAAGGCUAAGCACGAUGACAAAUACCGAUGCAGUUCGGAUCUCUAUCUAACGGACAUAUAUAUCUACUUAAAAUAAUGAUCUAACAGAGAAAGACUUCUUCUACACUUGCCUCAAGCACAGAGCGGGAGAGAGAGGGAAGCCUCCCCAGAUUGACUGCCAACUCGGGACUGUCCAAUGGUCAGUGGUGCUCCUCCAUGGGCCACUGAGAGCUGAGAGAGCGUGUCCCUGACACGAGGUGAGUGCUUAGGCUGGAGGACAUUAGUUUUGGUCGCCGGGCCCGAGUGCAUCAUCGCAGCUGCUCGACCGAGUGUCUGGUCUGUCAUUGAGGCCCGGGGAAUGCCCCUGACUUGAAGCUGAUGGCUGAUGGUUGAUGGUUGAUGCUUGAUGGAGUUUGCUUUUAACGCUGACAAAGCCAGCAACCAAAGCUGGAACUUGUGGAUUCUCAUCUUAAGCGAUGACUAUGACUCUAUUUAAAUCGCUUUCACUCCCCAGCUUUUUAUACCUCAACAAAAAAAAACCCCUUUGAAUAAUUGGCUUUUAGCAUUGUAAGCGUUUAUUCAGCCAUAAAGAAUCCGCCAA
This is an RNA transcript of Drosophila miranda, 3915 nucleotides long. It is a transcript of the gene named helicase POLQ-like, with no coding region annotated. Lineage: Eukaryota; Metazoa; Arthropoda; Insecta; Diptera; Drosophilidae. The record is from RefSeq and is a predicted model, not a curated record. The transcript is spliced from 10 exons.